UACGUAGGUGGCAAGCGUUGUCCGGAUUUACUGGGUGUAAAGGGUGUGUAGCCGGGCUGACAAGUCAGAUGUGAAAUCCGGGGGCUCAACCCCCGAACUGCAUUUGAAACUGUUGGUCUUGAGUAUCGGAGAGGCAGGCGGAAUUCCUAGUGUAGCGGUGAAAUGCGUAGAUAUUAGGAGGAACACCAGUGGCGAAGGCGGCCUGCUGGACGACAACUGACGGUGAGGCGCGAAAGCGUGGGGAGCAAACAGG
This 253-nucleotide ribosomal RNA is filed under the name uncultured bacterium. RNAcentral's name for it is "partial 16S ribosomal RNA". It matches the Rfam family "Bacterial small subunit ribosomal RNA", at positions 524 to 776 of the family's 1533-position model. The record is from RNAcentral.